CAAAGCAAAGCUGAAAUAUAGAAUAGCGCCUCACUUACGUUGAGGAGUUUUAUUGUGCAAUCCAAUAUGCUUUGA
This 75-nucleotide transfer RNA is filed under the name Thalamita integra. RNAcentral's name for it is "tRNA-Val". The record is from RNAcentral. Lineage: Eukaryota; Metazoa; Arthropoda; Malacostraca; Decapoda; Portunidae.